AGGAUGCCCUUAGUAACGGCGAGCGAACCGGGCAAAGCCCAACUUGAAAAUCUCCAGCCUCCGGCUGGCGAAUUGUAGUCUAGAGAAGUGCUCUCUGCGCCAGUCCGGCCCCAAGUCCCCUGGAAAGGGGCGUCAGAGAGGGUGAGAACCCCGUUGGGACCGGAUCCUGGUGCUCCACGAGACGCUUUCGCAGAGUCGGGUUGUUUGGGAAUGCAGCCCAAAGCAGGUGGUAAAUCCCAUCUAAGGCUAAAUACAGACGGGAGACCGAUAGCGAACAAGUACCGCGAGGGAAAGAUGAAAAGAACUUUGAAAAGAGAGUUAAAAAGUGCUUGAAAUUGUUGAGAGGGAAGUGAUUGGAUCCUACGGGUGCGCCCAGGCACACGCCUGCCUAACGGUUGGCUGAAUGCGCUGGGUGCUGGUCAGCAUGGGUUGGCCGGGCGGGACAAACCCGGGGAUUGCUACCCCGGCUAUGUCGCCUGGCCGACUGAGGAAAGAAGGGCGCUCU
Molecule: ribosomal RNA, 505 nt
Filed under: Micractinium reisseri
Lineage: Eukaryota; Viridiplantae; Chlorophyta; Trebouxiophyceae; Chlorellales; Chlorellaceae
Description: eukaryotic LSU rRNA
Rfam family: Eukaryotic large subunit ribosomal RNA
Source: RNAcentral